AAUAUAACUAAAUAAACUAGCAUAAAAUCUCAUUCAUAGGGAUAACAAACACUGCAUUUAAUCACAUCGAAAUAAACAUAAAACAAAUAAAAUCAAAAAGGGAAAAAAACACCUGGUUGAACUUGAAAUUGAGCAAAAUUUGGUGUCGAUCUUGGGGAUGUUGAUUUAGGUAUAGGCACUAACAAGGAUUUUGGGGUGCAUUGUCAGGAGUUUUACUUUCCUUCGACGAUGGUGUAGUUUUUGAGGGAGAUGAUUUAGGACGUGCUAGUGAUGAAGUUGGGAGAAUUUGAG
RNAcentral lists this long non-coding RNA (291 nucleotides) under Olea europaea subsp. europaea. The record is from RNAcentral. Lineage: Eukaryota; Viridiplantae; Streptophyta; Magnoliopsida; Lamiales; Oleaceae.